CUGUGCCUCCUGAUUGCUGAGUAUUCACCUGGACCUUCUGACUACCUUCCUUGUGCUAUUCCAUCAGCCUACAGAUCUCAUACCUGGAUUUUUGCCCAUGGUGAUUCCUACCACCUUACUACUGAAGAAGAUACCAUUCCAGUGGACCACUGUGACCCAAGAGACAUUCAGCCAUUAUGAUGUGGCCUUUACCUCCACUCCUGUCCUGUUCUGCCCAGCACAGCCCUUUG
This 230-nucleotide long non-coding RNA is filed under the name Prolemur simus (greater bamboo lemur). RNAcentral's name for it is "Taurine upregulated 1 conserved region 3 (ENSPSMG00000017688.1)". It matches the Rfam family "Taurine upregulated gene 1 conserved region 3". Rfam says of the family: TUG1 (taurine upregulated gene 1) is a long non-coding RNA expressed in retina and brain. The record is from RNAcentral. Lineage: Eukaryota; Metazoa; Chordata; Mammalia; Primates; Lemuridae.